This 88-nucleotide small nucleolar RNA is filed under the name Colletotrichum sublineola. Its description in RNAcentral is "Small nucleolar RNA R38". It matches the Rfam family "Small nucleolar RNA R38". Rfam says of the family: snoR38 is a C/D box small nucleolar RNA conserved across yeast, human, Arabidopsis and rice. It is encoded in the intron of elongation factor-1 gamma in both pombe and cerevisiae. snoR38 guides the methylation of 2'-O-ribose sites in 28S rRNA. Lineage: Eukaryota; Fungi; Ascomycota; Sordariomycetes; Glomerellales; Glomerellaceae. The record is from Rfam by way of RNAcentral.
CUCUCGAUAUGAUGAUCAAGCAUUUCUUUAAUACAGUUAUCCCUGUCUGAAUUUUCUUGUGGACUCAGUCUAAAUUUCUGAUCUUGCC